UACACGAGUGGCGCACGGGUGGCGUAACGCGUAUGCAACCUGCCCCCGACCGGGACAAAACAGCUGGAAACGGCUGCUAAUAUCCCAUGGUCAUGCGGAAGGGCAUCCUUCUUCAUGUAAAGAUUCAUUGGUCGGGGAUGGGCAUGCGUAUUAUUAGGUAGUUGGCGGGGUAACGGCCCACCAAGCCGACGAUGAUUAGGGGUCCUGAGAGGGUUAACCCCCCACACUGGAACUGAGACACGGUCCAGACUCCUACGGGAGGCAGCAGUAGGGAAUAUUGGGCAAUGGGAGCAAUCCUGACCCAGCCAUGCCGCCGUGAAGGAAGACGGCCCUAUGGGUUGUAAACUUCUUUUUGCCGCAGAAGUAAACCCGGUCACGAGUGGUCGGUUGAGAGUAUGCGGCGAAUAAGUAUCGGCUAACUCCGUGCCAGCCGCCGC
This 437-nucleotide ribosomal RNA is filed under the name uncultured bacterium. Its description in RNAcentral is "bacterial SSU rRNA". It matches the Rfam family "Bacterial small subunit ribosomal RNA", at positions 88 to 518 of the family's 1533-position model. The record is from RNAcentral.